UGGGGAAUAUUGCACAAUGGGCGCAAGCCUGAUGCAGCCAUGCCGCGUGUAUGAAGAAGGCCUUCGGGUUGUAAAGUACUUUCAGCGGGGAGGAAGGCGAUAAGGUUAAUAACCUUGUCGAUUGACGUUACCCGCAGAAGAAGCACCGGCUAACUCCGUGCCAGCAGCCGCGGUAAUACGGAGGGUGCAAGCGUUAAUCGGAAUUACUGGGCGUAAAGCGCACGCAGGCGGUCUGUCAAGUCGGAUGUGAAAUCCCCGGGCUCAACCUGGGAACUGCAUUCGAAACUGGCAGGCUAGAGUCUUGUAGAGGGGGGUAGAAUUCCAGGUGUAGCGGUGAAAUGCGUAGAGAUCUGGAGGAAUACCGGUGGCGAAGGCGGCCCCCUGGGCAAAGACUGACGCUCAGGUGCGAAAGCGUGGGGAGCAAACA
This 427-nucleotide ribosomal RNA is filed under the name uncultured bacterium. Its description in RNAcentral is "partial 16S ribosomal RNA". It matches the Rfam family "Bacterial small subunit ribosomal RNA", at positions 355 to 774 of the family's 1533-position model. The record is from RNAcentral.